Molecule: long non-coding RNA, 1483 nt
Filed under: Anas platyrhynchos platyrhynchos (common mallard)
Lineage: Eukaryota; Metazoa; Chordata; Aves; Anseriformes; Anatidae
Description: lncRNA (ENSAPLG00000023631.1)
Source: RNAcentral
UCACUAACGCUUGCCUGGGGAAUCCCUCUGCCUUCUCUCCAGGUAACGACCAGACUCCAGUCCUGUACCUCAACGCUUCCAGUGCCAAGGAGGGGGAAAUAAUUCUCUUUCAGUGUGCCAUUGAUUGGCAGUUUCCUGCUACACGAGUUGUCUUCUGCAAGAAUGGGCAGGAGGAGUUCAGUCUGAAAGCCCAGCAGGGCAAGGUCACCUAUACUCUGGUCCUGAACAUCACCUCCAGAAAUGCUGGGACGUACAAGUGUGGGUACCAGCAGAGGAACGAGGGCAACUGGGUGAGGAACUCUGCUCUCAGUGCUCCCCAGACCCUGUCUGUACCAGGUGAGACACGGCCCCAGUGUGGUGGUGGCAGAAGGGACACGGGCUGUGCUGAGGCUGGAGCUGUGUGCUGCAGCAGGCAGGGCAUGGCUCUGGGGUGGUUCCCCCUUGGGAGUGUUCCCUCUCCUCCGAGGGAGCCCCUUGAGAGAAAGCUGCUCUCAAGGGCUGUCCCCCUCCCUGCAUCAGCACCUACACAAUAGAUAGACUUUGUGAAGCAGAUGAGGGCAUGUGCCCUGAAAUGUUUAGGAUACUCAGCAAUAGUGUGUUUUUUCGGCACUUUUAUGCCUUCCCUGGGGAUGGUGCUGGCUGUCGGUGGAUGGAUGUGCCCAUGGGGCUGUGUGUCCCCUGCCCCACACACACGUGCUCAGGGAUGUUGCAGGACACGAGAUAAAUAUGUGCCUAGUCUGGGCAGUACGGGGCAAGCUGCAGACACUCAUCCUGUUCCUUUCUCCUGCCAGGCAGUGAGUCCAGCUCCUCAGCAAGGCCGUUGCCCCCAGGCAGUGUGUCCAACUCCCCAGCAGGGCCAUCACACCCGGGUGCCUGCAGAGCGAGAUGCCCAAGGCAGCAGCACGUUGACAGCCCACAAGAAGAAGACACCAACAACGACAAUAUUCAGUACUCCACCAUCGCCCACGUUCGACGGGACAGGCAGGAUCACAAUCCAGAUCAGAGGAGGAAGAAAUACCUUGCAAAGCAUCUCACCCUUCUGUCGGUACGAACAUUUCCCAAAGCUGCGAAACCAGAGAAUGCAGGUGGGCUGGGACGACAAGCUCAGGCCAAGUGUAAUUAAAGCUGGACACAAAAAAUAGAAAAUCCACAGGGGAGUUUUUCAGAUGGCAGCUGUGAGAAAAAUGAGAUUUGCGCUUGGGGAUUUCCUGUGUAAUGAAGGGGGCUGCUGCAUGCAGGGUUGUUUCAGGGAAAAAAAAAAAAAAAGAAAAAAGAAAAAAAAAAAAAGGAGAAAAAAGUCCCUGCUGUGGGACUACAACGAGGUCCAGGCUCACAGAGCACCCACAGCAGGAUGCUGGGGAGGUCAGGAUGGGACUUCUGACCACCCAAAGUGUCCCACAGCAUCUUGUCCUGAGGACGGACAAGCUAUGUUAUCUUUUGGUGGUUGGAUUUCAAAAAAAUAAAAAUAACUCUUUAUGUGGCA